Molecule: long non-coding RNA, 803 nt
Organism: Passer domesticus (house sparrow)
Lineage: Eukaryota; Metazoa; Chordata; Aves; Passeriformes; Passeridae
Exons: 5
Source: RefSeq, a predicted model, not a curated record
GCCGGCCCCUCGUCUGCCCAGGGUUCUGGGGACAAAGUGCUCCGGAGAAGGGAAAAUACGUGGGAAUUGUGGAAUGGCUGCAUAAUAGCUACCCUGUGCUUCCCGAACAGCAUGGCAGAAGAUGGAUAAAAGAAAUGGAAAAGAGACCCAAAGGGAGAUUCUUUCUUUGGGGUGCUGUUGGUUUGCUUGCUUGCAAGAGGUUUUAGUGCAAAUUUCAAAAUCCAUAACUCUUAAAGAUGACCUGCAAAAUGCCAAUGUGCAGGAUUGCAUCCAAGAAUCUGUAGUUAGUGGAAGCUUGUGCGCCUAAUACAAGGCUUCAGAGUGGCUGCUACACAUUCAAGAACAGGGAAUUUCAAGAGAACUUGGCAAAUGGAUGGAAGGAAGAUGAUGGAAUUAGGGAAGGAUUUUUGCAGAAGCCUUAGGGAGGGAAGAAGGAAAAUUAAAGGGAUGGUGCAAGGAAAGUUGCCAGCUGAAGGAAAGAAAGAAAAAACAGAUAGUGAAUGAAAAAUGAUCUCAGAAAAUGGGAAAAAAAUUAGUAGGAGCUGAACUAAAAUCCAGACAGCAAGGAAGUCAAAGCACCUUCAUAUAAGUGGAGAAACUACUCCAGCUGUGUCUGUGGAACCAGAGCACCCAGCAGUGGCCUCCUCCAGCUCCAUGACCAUCCCAGAGGGAGCAGCCUCUCCCACACAGCUUGGGCCCAGGAGGAAUGUCUGAUUUGGGCUGCAACACAGCUGCAGCUCUUGGACUCAUGAGAGCCCUGCUGCUUUUCAGUUGUCCUUGUCAAAAAGAAAAGAGGUAAGAAG